Molecule: ribosomal RNA, 1417 nt
Filed under: uncultured bacterium
Lineage: Bacteria
Description: bacterial SSU rRNA
Rfam family: Bacterial small subunit ribosomal RNA
Source: RNAcentral
AGAGUUUGAUCAUGGCUCAGAUUGAACGCUGGCGGAAUGCUUUACACAUGCAAGUCGAACGGCAGCACGGACUUCGGUCUGGUGGCGAGUGGCGAACGGGUGAGUAAUAUAUCGGAACGUAUCCAAUAAUGGGGGAUAACUAAUCGAAAGGUUGGCUAAUACCGCAUACGCCCUACGGGGGAAAGCAGGGGAUCUUCGGACCUUGCGUUAAUGGAGCGGCUGAUAUCUGAUUAGCUAGUUGGUGAGGUAAAGGCUCACCAAGGCGACGAUCAGUAGCUGGUCUGAGAGGACGACCAGCCACACUGGAACUGAGACACGGUCCAGACUCCUACGGGAGGCAGCAGUGGGGAAUUUUGGACAAUGGGCGCAAGCCUGAUCCAGCCAUUCCGCGUGAGUGAAGAAGGCCUUCGGGUUGUAAAGCUCUUUCGCAAGGGAAGAAAACUUACUUUCUAAUAAAGAGUGAGGUUGACGGUACCUUGAUAAGAAGCACCGGCUAACUACGUGCCAGCAGCCGCGGUAAUACGUAGGGUGCGAGCGUUAAUCGGAAUUACUGGGCGUAAAGCGUGCGCAGGCGGUUUUGUAAGUCAGAUGUGAAAUCCCCGAGCUCAACUUGGGAACUGCGUUUGAAACUACAAGGCUAGAAUAUGUCAGAGGGGGGUAGAAUUCCACGUGUAGCAGUGAAAUGCGUAGAGAUGUGGAGGAAUACCAAUGGCGAAGGCAGCCCCCUGGGAUAAUAUUGACGCUCAUGCACGAAAGCGUGGGGAGCAAACAGGAUUAGAUACCCUGGUAGUCCACGCCCUAAACGAUGUCUACUAGUUGUUGGGUCUUCACUGACUCAGUAACGAAGCUAACGCGUGAAGUCAGCCGCCUGGGGAGUACGGUCGCAAGAUUAAAACUCAAAGGAAUUGACGGGGACCCGCACAAGCGGUGGAUGAUGUGGAUUAAUUCGAUGCAACGCGAAAAACCUUACCUACCCUUGACAUGCCACUAACGAAGUAGAGAUACAUUAGGUGCCCGUAAGGGAAAGUGGACACAGGUGCUGCAUGGCUGUCGUCAGCUCGUGUCGUGAGAUGUUGGGUUAAGUCCCGCAACGAGCGCAACCCUUGUCUUUAGUUGCUACGCAAGAGCACUCUAAAGAGACUGCCGGUGACAAACCGGAGGAAGGUGGGGAUGACGUCAAGUCCUCAUGGCCCUUACGUGUUGGGCUACACACGUGCUACAAUGGUAUCUACAACAGGAAGCAAGACUGCGAGGUCAAGCAAAUCCUUAAAAGAUACCUCAGUUCGGAUUGCACUCUGCAACUCGAGUGCAUGAAGCUGGAAUUACUAGUAAUCGUGGAUCAGCGUGCCACGGUGAAUGCGUUCCCGGGUCUUGUACACACCGCCCGUCACACCAUGGGAGUUGGUUCUACCUUAAG